GGGAGUUCAACUAGAACAAUAGAAAAACAAGGGAAACCCUUGUUCUUGCUAAAAUCACUCAAUUGAUCAAGGAAUUCAAGCCUAAUCACUUGCAUGAUUCUAAAUAUUCGGUCAUCUCACAUACUCAGUAAAGUGCCGUGAAGGAAGAAAGCUCAAGUGCUAGGAAAACGGAAAACACGCAAGAUCGAGGUAAAUCCGCAACUUAGACGUGAUGGCGAAUUUGGAACGAACACACGCGUGAAACUUGUCUAUAUGCGCUUCCGCUAUUUUGUGAUGAAGUUAUGGUCAAAAGCUACUUUUGUUGUAAUUAGUUUUUGAGUAGUAACUAGUCUUUUUAAGUUAACAUGUUAAAUCUUUUAAACCAUAAAUGUUGUCGUUGGUAGAUAUAUAAACGUAAUGCCAUGGCGUUGUAUGUCCUUUUGAAAGUGUCUUUAAAUUCUUGUAUUAAGGAUUACUAAAA
Helianthus annuus (common sunflower) is the source of this 460-nucleotide long non-coding RNA. RefSeq lists it as uncharacterized. The transcript has 3 exons. The record is from RefSeq and is a predicted model, not a curated record. Lineage: Eukaryota; Viridiplantae; Streptophyta; Magnoliopsida; Asterales; Asteraceae.